Molecule: non-coding RNA, 81 nt
Organism: Mycena galericulata
Lineage: Eukaryota; Fungi; Basidiomycota; Agaricomycetes; Agaricales; Mycenaceae
Source: the annotation of a GenBank genome assembly
GGGUGCUUAGCGCAAUGGUAGCGUGUUUGGCUUCGAUGCCACGACACCAAAAGGUUGCAGGUUCGAGUCCUGCAGUGCUCA